Long non-coding RNA from Nematolebias whitei (Rio pearlfish), 247 nucleotides. RefSeq lists it as uncharacterized. The record is from RefSeq and is a predicted model, not a curated record. Lineage: Eukaryota; Metazoa; Chordata; Actinopteri; Cyprinodontiformes; Rivulidae. The transcript is spliced from 5 exons.
GGGUUACCAGGUGUUCGUGGGAAACCAGGACCACAGGGAAAGUCAGGAGAGAAAGGUCCUGAUGGUGCACCUGGACCACCAGGACCUGAGGGUUUUCCUGGUGACAUGGGACCACCAGGAGACAAUGGCCUUGAAGGACCAAAGGGAAAACCAGGGGCCAGAGGUUUACCGGGGCCACGAGGGGUACUAGGCUUGGAGGGAGAUGAAGGUCCCCUUGGGCCACCUGGACCAUCAGGUCUUGAGGUGA